RNAcentral lists this transfer RNA (72 nucleotides) under Dipodomys ordii (Ord's kangaroo rat). It matches the Rfam family "tRNA". Rfam says of the family: Transfer RNA (tRNA) molecules are approximately 80 nucleotides in length. Their secondary structure includes four short double-helical elements and three loops (D, anti-codon, and T loops). Further hydrogen bonds mediate the characteristic L-shaped molecular structure. tRNAs have two regions of fundamental functional importance: the anti-codon, which is responsible for specific mRNA codon recognition, and the 3' end, to which the tRNAs corresponding amino acid is attached (by aminoacyl-tRNA synthetases). tRNAs cope with the degeneracy of the genetic code in two manners: having more than one tRNA (with a specific anti-codon) for a particular amino acid; and 'wobble' base-pairing, i.e. permitting non-standard base-pairing at the 3rd anti-codon position. Lineage: Eukaryota; Metazoa; Chordata; Mammalia; Rodentia; Heteromyidae. The record is from Rfam by way of RNAcentral.
GGAACUAUAGCUCAAUGGUAGAGUACUUGUCUAAUAUGCAUGAGGCUCUGGGUUUAAUCCUCAGCAUUUCAA